UACGUAGGGGGCUAGCGUUAUCCGGAAUUACUGGGCGUAAAGGGUGCGUAGGUGGUUUCUUAAGUCAGAGGUGAAAGGCUACGGCUCAACCGUAGUAAGCCUUUGAAACUGGGAAACUUGAGUGCAGGAGAGGAGAGUGAAAUUCCUAGUGUAGCGGUGAAAUGCGUAGAUAUUAGGAGGAACACCAGUUGCGAAGGCGGCUCUCUGGACUGUAACUGACACUGAGGCACGAAAGCGUGGGUAGCAAACAGG
Molecule: ribosomal RNA, 252 nt
Filed under: uncultured bacterium
Lineage: Bacteria
Description: partial 16S ribosomal RNA
Rfam family: Bacterial small subunit ribosomal RNA
Source: RNAcentral